RNAcentral lists this long non-coding RNA (784 nucleotides) under Daucus carota (carrot). Its description in RNAcentral is "long non-coding RNA (DCAR_LNC002253)". Lineage: Eukaryota; Viridiplantae; Streptophyta; Magnoliopsida; Apiales; Apiaceae. The record is from RNAcentral.
AUAAACCAGCUUAAAUAUUUCAUUAAUAAAACUACGGCAGCUUGCUUUACAAUCAAAAUUAGCACAGCUCCGACAACAUCCCAACAACACAAUGCAUAAAAUCUGAUAAACUACCUAAUAUAUUACUACUACAUAGACUAGAAAACAAGACCUGCAGAAUGCAUGCUUGAUCAUUAAACAAGCACGAAACAGAUGAUUAAAUGAUCUUCUUCUGACCUUUUGCUGGCAAACCUCUACUAGACUACUACCACUUCCUUUGACAACCAGAUUUACUUAACCAUCAAUGCCGUCAUCAGCCUCCUCACCAGUCAAGUCUAUUUCUGCCGUCCAUUUCUAGUUGUUCUUGAAGCUCUUCAAAAGGCUGAAGCUGAAAUUCGGCAUCCCAUACUGGGCCAUGCACAGAGCCGCCCUAUUCCUGGAGGCGUUCACAGACACCAACUCACAGUCCCAUUUCGUGCCGUCAUCCUGCCUCAUCCCAUUGUAUGUUCUGCUCAUGUUGUUAAUCUGUCUGACCACCUCUCCCAACCCUUCUUCCUCAAUGAAAUCUCCAUCUUGAUCCAAGAGAAUCCCGUACGCAUGAAAUCUUGUGAUUCCUAGCAACAAUACCAAUACCAUUUCUAUUUCCAUUCUGCAACGGCUCAUCCAGUGUUGAUGCGCGGAUAUUAAUAAUGACUAUCUCAAUGUCAGUUCUGGCCAACCACCUCGCAGGGCAAUCCUAUUAAGCAAAUGAAGUUGUGAAAUAGUUGUUUACAACAUUUGUCUUCACCUCAUCACUGGUCAUACG